RNAcentral lists this transfer RNA (81 nucleotides) under Candidatus Nomurabacteria bacterium RIFCSPHIGHO2_02_FULL_42_24. Its description in RNAcentral is "tRNA-Leu". It matches the Rfam family "tRNA". Rfam says of the family: Transfer RNA (tRNA) molecules are approximately 80 nucleotides in length. The record is from RNAcentral. Lineage: Bacteria; Candidatus Nomuraibacteriota.
GCCGGAGUGGCGGAAUGGCAGACGCGCGCGACUCAAAAUCGCGUGUCGCAAGACGUGUGGGUUCGACUCCCACCUCCGGCA